RNAcentral lists this ribosomal RNA (355 nucleotides) under Salmonella enterica. RNAcentral describes it as "bacterial SSU rRNA". It matches the Rfam family "Bacterial small subunit ribosomal RNA", at positions 1168 to 1522 of the family's 1533-position model. The record is from RNAcentral. Lineage: Bacteria; Pseudomonadati; Pseudomonadota; Gammaproteobacteria; Enterobacterales; Enterobacteriaceae.
GGAAGGUGGGGAUGACGUCAAGUCAUCAUGGCCCUUACGACCAGGGCUACACACGUGCUACAAUGGCGCAUACAAAGAGAAGCGACCUCGCGAGAGCAAGCGGACCUCAUAAAGUGCGUCGUAGUCCGGAUUGGAGUCUGCAACUCGACUCCAUGAAGUCGGAAUCGCUAGUAAUCGUGGAUCAGAAUGCCACGGUGAAUACGUUCCCGGGCCUUGUACACACCGCCCGUCACACCAUGGGAGUGGGUUGCAAAAGAAGUAGGUAGCUUAACCUUCGGGAGGGCGCUUACCACUUUGUGAUUCAUGACUGGGGUGAAGUCGUAACAAGGUAACCGUAGGGGAACCUGCGGUUGGA